ACGUAGGAGGCGAGCGUUAUCCGGAUUUAUUGGGCGUAAAGCGCGCGCAGGCGGCGUCUCAAGUCGGAUGUGAAAUCUCCUGGCUUAACUGGGAGACUGCGUUCGAAACUAGGGCGCUUGAGGUCAGUAGGGGGGAGUGGAAUUCCCGGUGUAGUGGUAAAAUGCGUAGAUAUCGGGAGGAACACCAGUGGCGAAGGCGGCUCCCUGGACUGCACCUGACGCUGAGGCGCGAAAGCGUGGGGAGCGAACGGGAUUAGAUACCCCGGUAGUCCACGCUGUAAACGAUGGAUGCUAGGUGUUGGUGGUAUUGACCCCAUCAGUGCCGAAGCUAACGCGUUAAGCAUCCCGCCUGGGGACUACGGCCGCAAGGUUA
This 373-nucleotide ribosomal RNA is filed under the name uncultured bacterium. RNAcentral's name for it is "bacterial SSU rRNA". It matches the Rfam family "Bacterial small subunit ribosomal RNA", at positions 525 to 896 of the family's 1533-position model. The record is from RNAcentral.